Molecule: ribosomal RNA, 2973 nt
Filed under: human metagenome
Description: bacterial LSU rRNA
Rfam family: Bacterial large subunit ribosomal RNA
Source: RNAcentral
GGUUGAGGAAAAGAGAAUAACCAAUGAUUCCGAAAGUAGUGGCGAGCGAAAUUGGAACAGCCCAAACCUUAACAUAACCUAACGGUUUAACGGCCUGAGUUAUGAAAGGGGUUGCGAAAUUAGAUAAUUUUUAUGUAGAGAUGUUGGACUCACGGUUGUUUAGCUUUUUAUUUACUUUUUGAGAGUAUAAGCCUGGCCAAACGGCUUCGAGUGUCUCGAAAAAAAGUGAGUGAAAAGCUAAACACUGCCAAUCCUCUACAUAAAAACUACCAUCGUUAAAUGAGUAGAUAAUGAUACAAACCUUUAGAUCAUAGCGGAAGCGUUUGAAUGGCGCGCCAAAGAGGGUGAGAGUCCCGUAUGCGAAAUGGUCUUAGGCAUUAUAUAUCUUUUUUCAAGUAGGACGGGGCACGAGAAACCCUGUUUGAAUCCGGCAGGACCACCUGCCAAGGCUAAAUAUAUUGAUUGAUCGAUAGCGAACUAGUACAGUGAUGGAAAGGUGAAAAGAACCCCGGGAGGGGAGUGAAAUAGAUCCUGAAAUUUAGUGCCUACAAGGAGUCGGAGCCGGCUUGUCCGGUGACGGCGUGCUUUUUGUAGAACGAUCCAGCGAGUUAAUUUUUACAGCGAGGUUAAGUCAAUUGACGGAGCCACAGUGAAAGCGAGCCUGAAUAGGGCGUUUAGUUGUAAGGAUUAGACCCGAAACCGGGUGACCUAACCAUGAGCAGGUUGAAGCCACUGUAACAGGUGGUGGAGGACCGAACCAGGAUACGCAGCAAAGUGUUUGGAUGACUUGUGGUUAGCGGUGAAAUGCCAAUCGAACUCGGAGAUAGCUGGUUCUCCUCGAAAUAGCUUUAGGGCUAGCGUCGUGUUAGUAGCACAUGGGGGUAGAGCUCUGUAAAGGACUGGGGCGGGCAACUGUACCCACCCUUAACAAACUACGAAUACCGUAUGCGGAAUCACGGCAGUUAGAACGGCGGAGCUAAGUUCGUCGCUCGAAAGGGAAACAGCCCAGACCAUCAUCUAAGGUCCCUAAAUUAACGUUCAGUGGGAAACAAGGUGAGAUUUCUUAAACAGCUAGGAUGUUGGCUUAGAAGCAGCCAUUCAUUUAAAGAGUGCGUAACAGCUCACUAGUCAAGAGAUUUUGCGUGGAAAAUGUAACGGGGCUCAAGUAUUACACCGAAGACAUGGACUUCUAAUUUUAUUAGGAGUGGUAGAGGAGCGUUGAUAUUGCAGUGAAGCAGAAUUGGAAAGUUCUGUGGAGCGUUAUCAAGUGAGAAUGCUGGAAUCAGUAACCUUAAGACAGGUGAGAAUCCUGUCGGUCGUAAGAGCAAGGUUUCCAGGGCUACAGUAAUUGCCCCUGGGUUAGUCGGUCCUAAGCCGAGGCGCAUCAGCGUAGGCGAUGGACAACAGGUUAAUAUUCCUGUACUGGUAGUAGUUGUAAAGAGUUCGCAAGAUCUGACUAGAGCGGAUUAAUGGUUUAUCCGUCCAAGUCUUACGGGAACGUAAGAUGAGUGAAAGGUGUUCUUCGGAAUGCUGAUUCUAGGUAUAGUCUUGACCAGAAAAGCUCGUUUACUUAUGCUGCUGCCAACCGUACCGCAAACCAACACCGGUGCUCGGGUCGAGUAGACCAAGACCUACGAGAGAACCUUCGUUAAGGAACUCGGCAAAAAAGCGUCCGUAACUUCGGAAUAAGGACUGCCCUCUCGCUUAGUGCGAGAUUUGUUAAAGAGUGACUCAGCGAAUAAAGGUUGAGUAUGUAUCUUUUAUUCAAUCGAUUUCAACGUUGAGACACACUAUUCUUUAGCAGCUUGAAUCGCGCAUUGCGCGAGAGGGCCGCAGCUAAAGAGCCCACGGAACUGUUUACCAAAAACAUAGGUCUCUGCUAACGCGAAAGCGGAUGUAUAGGGGCUGACUCCUGCCCAGUGUCGGAAGGUUAAGGGGAGAACUUCACGGUUCGAACUGAAGCCCCGAUGAACGGCGGCGAUAACUAUGAUCGUCCUAAGGUAGCGAAAUUCCUUGUCUGGUAAGUUCAGACCCGCACGAAUGGAGUAAUCAUGUGGGCACUGUCUCGACGAAGGCCUCGGUGAACGUGCAUUGGCGGUAAAGAUGCCGUCUGAUCAUGCCAGGACGAGAAGACCCCAUGGAGCUUUACUACAACUUUGCAUUGAUUGUUGGGAUGUUUUGUGUAGCAUAGGUGGAAGACUUUGAAGCAGAUACGCCAGUAUUUGUGGAGUCACAGGUGAAAUACCACCCUUAAUGUGAAUUUAGUCUCACCAUUACCGUAAUCCGGUAAUGGGACCGUGUAUGAUGGGUAGUUUAACUGGGGCGGUUGCCUCCUAAAGAGUAGCGGAGGCGUUCAAAGGUUGGCUAACUUCGGAUGGAAAUCGAAGUGAUAGUGUAUGCGCAUAAGCCAGCUUGACUGUGAGGAGUACAUUCCAAUCAGAGACGAAAGUCGGAGCAAGUGACCCGCUGUACGAACAUUUGUUCAUUGAAUGUGGGAUCGACAGCGCACACGGAUAAAAGUUACCCUGGGGAUAACAGGCUUAUAGCGCCCAAUAGUUCACAUAGACGGCGCUGUUUGGCACCUCGAUGUCGGCUCAUCACAUCCUGGAGGGGGAGCACCUUCCAAGGGUCCGGCUGUUCGCCGGUUAAAGUGGUACGCGAGCUGGGUUCAGAACGUCGUGAGACAGUUCGGUUUAUAUCCGGCAUGAUCGUUAGGAAUUUUGAGGAGAUCUACCCUUAGUACGAGAGGACCGGGGCGGACGAACCGCUAGUGUAUCGGUUGUGGCCACCUGCUGCAUCGCCGAGUAGCUAUGUUCGGAAGAGAUAAGCGCUGAAAGCAUAUUAAGCGCGAAGCCCACUCCAAGAUAAGAAUUCCCUAUGACCUCCCAGAAAGAAGAUCUGGUCGAUAGGCGCAAGGUGGAAGCACGGUAACGUGUGGAGCCGAAGCGUACUAAUAGAGGCAUCGCCUUUUUA